GAUGAACGCUGGCGGCGUGCCUAAUACAUGCAAGUCGAGCGAACAGAUGAGGAGCUUGCUCCUCUGACGUUAGCGGCGGACGGGUGAGUAACACGUGGAUAACCUACCUAUAAGACUGGGAUAACUUCGGGAAACCGGAGCUAAUACCGGAUAAUAUAUUGAACCGCAUGGUUCAAUAGUGAAAGACGGUUUUGCUGUCACUUAUAGAUGGAUCCGCGCCACAUUAGCUAGUUGGUAAGGUAACCGCUUACCAAGGCAACGAUGCGUAGCCGACCUGAGAGGGUGAUCGGCCACACUGGAACUGAGACACGGUCCAGACUCCUACGGGAGGCAGCAGUAGGGAAUCUUCCGCAAUGGGCGAAAGCCUGACGGAGCAACGCCGCGUGAGUGAUGAAGGUCUUCGGAUCGUAAAACUCUGUUAUUAGGGAAGAACAAAUGUGUAAGUAACUAUGCACGUCUUGACGGUACCUAAUCAGAAAGCCACGGCUAACUACGUG
RNAcentral lists this ribosomal RNA (497 nucleotides) under uncultured bacterium. RNAcentral's name for it is "partial 16S ribosomal RNA". It matches the Rfam family "Bacterial small subunit ribosomal RNA", at positions 28 to 507 of the family's 1533-position model. The record is from RNAcentral.